RNAcentral lists this ribosomal RNA (253 nucleotides) under uncultured bacterium. RNAcentral's name for it is "partial 16S ribosomal RNA". It matches the Rfam family "Bacterial small subunit ribosomal RNA", at positions 524 to 776 of the family's 1533-position model. The record is from RNAcentral.
UACGAGUGCCCCAAGCGUUAUCCGGAAUUAUUGGGCGUAAAGGGUCAGUAGGCGGUUCUGUUAGUCUUCUGUCAAAUUCUUCGGCUUAACCGGGGGUCCGCAGGGGAAACGGCAGAACUUGAGGAUGCGAGAGGUGAAUGGAACUCAUAGUGUAGGGGUGAAAUCCGUUGAUAUUAUGGGGAACACCAAAAGCGAAGGCAAUUCACUGGCGCACUCCUGACGCUGAAUGACGAAAGCGUGGGUAGCGAAUGGG